Molecule: ribosomal RNA, 163 nt
Filed under: Perideridia americana
Lineage: Eukaryota; Viridiplantae; Streptophyta; Magnoliopsida; Apiales; Apiaceae
Description: 5.8S ribosomal RNA
Rfam family: 5.8S ribosomal RNA
About the family: 5.8S ribosomal RNA (5.8S rRNA) is a component of the large subunit of the eukaryotic ribosome.
Source: RNAcentral
AAACGACUCUCGACAACGGAUAUCCCGGCUCUCGCAUCGAUGAAGAACGUAGCGAAAUGCGAUACUUGGUGUGAAUUGCAGAAUCCCGUGAACCAUCGAGUCUUUGAACGCAAGUUGCGCCCGAGGCCACUAGGCUAAGGGCACGUCUGCCUGGGUGUCACGC